GAUGAACGCUGGCGGCGUGCCUAAUACAUGCAAGUCGAGCGAACAGACGACGAGCUUGCUCCUCUUACUUUAGCGGCGGAAGGGUGAGUAACACGUGGAUAACCUACCUCUAAGACUGGGAUAACUUCGGGAAACCGGCGCUAAUAUCCGAUAAUAUAUUAAACCGCAUGAUUCAUUAGUUAAUAACGCUUUUGCUGUCCCUUAUAGAUGGACCCGCGCCGCAUUAGCUAGUUGGUUAGGUAACGGCUUACCACGGCAACCAUGCGUAGCCGACCUGAGAGGGUGGUCCGCCACACUAGAAGGGAGCCACGGUACAGACUCCUACGGGAGGCAGCGGUAGGGUAUGUUACGUAAUGGGCGGGAGCCUACCGUGGCACAGCCGCGCCGGGUAUGAGGGUCUGGGGAUCGGAAAUGUCUGCUACUAGGAAAGGGGAAGUGUGUAGUGUACUCUGCCGCACUUGACGGUACCUAAGCAGUAAGCACCGGCUAACUCCGUG
Molecule: ribosomal RNA, 497 nt
Filed under: uncultured bacterium
Lineage: Bacteria
Description: partial 16S ribosomal RNA
Rfam family: Bacterial small subunit ribosomal RNA
Source: RNAcentral